This 447-nucleotide ribosomal RNA is filed under the name uncultured bacterium. Its description in RNAcentral is "partial 16S ribosomal RNA". It matches the Rfam family "Bacterial small subunit ribosomal RNA", at positions 330 to 793 of the family's 1533-position model. The record is from RNAcentral.
UCCAGACUCCUACGGGAGGCAGCAGUGGGGGAUAUUGCACAAUGGGGGGAACCCUGAUGCAGCGACGCCGCGUGGGUGAAGGAGCGUUUCGGCGCGUAAAGCCCUCUAGGCAGGGAAGAAGGAGGACGGAACCUGACUAAGAAGCCCCGGCUAACUACGUUCCAGCAGCCGCGGUAAUACGUAGGGGGCAAGCGUUAUCCGGAUUUACUGGGUGUAAAGGGGGCGCAGACGGCAGCGCAAGCCAGGAGUGAAAGCCCGGGGCGCAACCCCGGGACUGCUCUUGGAACUGCGCGGCUGGAGUGCAGGAGGGGAAGGCGGAAUUCCUGGUGUAGCGGUGAAAUGCGUAGAUAUCAGGAGGAACACCGGUGGCGAAGGCGGCCUGCUGGACUGCGACUGACGUUGAGGCUCGAAAGCGUGGGGAGCAAACAGGAUUAGAUACCCGAGUAA